Molecule: ribosomal RNA, 479 nt
Filed under: uncultured bacterium
Lineage: Bacteria
Description: partial 16S ribosomal RNA
Rfam family: Bacterial small subunit ribosomal RNA
Source: RNAcentral
GAUGAACGCUAGCGGGAGGCCUAACACAUGCAAGCCGAGCGGUAUGGAUAGCUUGCUAUCCAGAGAGCGGCGUACGGGUGCGUAACACGUGUGCAACCUACCUUUAUCUGGGGGAUAGCCUUUCGAAAGGAAGAUUAAUACCCCAUAAUAUAAUGAUUGGCAUCAAUUAUUAUUGAAAACUCCGGUGGAUAGAGAUGGGCAAGCGCCAGAUUAGAUAGUUGGUGAGGUAACGGCUCACCAAGUCAAUGAUCUUUAGGGGUCCUGAGAGGGAGAUCCCCCACACCGGUACUGAGACACGGACCAGACUCCUACGGGAGGCAGCAGUGAGGAAUAUUGAACAAUGGGUGAGAGCCUGAUCCAGCCAUCCCGCGUGAAGGAUGACGGUCCUAUGGAUUGUAAACUUCUUUUGUACAGGGAUAAACCUACCCUCGUGAGGGUAGCUGAAGGUACUGUACGAAUAAGCACCGGCUAACUCCGUG